This 444-nucleotide ribosomal RNA is filed under the name Collinsella tanakaei. Its description in RNAcentral is "bacterial SSU rRNA". It matches the Rfam family "Bacterial small subunit ribosomal RNA", at positions 1 to 449 of the family's 1533-position model. Lineage: Bacteria; Bacillati; Actinomycetota; Coriobacteriia; Coriobacteriales; Coriobacteriaceae. The record is from RNAcentral.
GACGGAGAGUUCGAUCCUGGCUCAGGAUGAACGCUGGCGGCGCGCCUAACACAUGCAAGUCGAACGGCACCCUUCUUCGGAAGGAAGCGAGUGGCGAACGGCUGAGUAACACGUGGAGAACCCGCCCCCCUCCCGGGGAUAGCCGCCGGAAACGGCGGGUAACACCCGAUGACCCCGCGCCAGGGCAUCCCGGCGCGGGCAAAACUCCGGUGGAGGGGGAUGGCUCCGCGGCCCAUCAGGUAGACGGCGGGGUGACGGCCCACCGUGCCGACAACGGGUAGCCGGGUUGAGAGACCGACCGGCCAGAUUGGGACUGAGACACGGCCCAGACUCCUACGGGAGGCAGCAGUGGGGAAUCUUGCGCAAUGGGGGCAACCCUGACGCAGCGACGCCGCGUGCGGGAUGGAGGCCUUCGGGUCGUAAACCGCUUUCAGCAGGGACGAG